RNAcentral lists this unclassified non-coding RNA (432 nucleotides) under Hevea brasiliensis (rubber tree). Lineage: Eukaryota; Viridiplantae; Streptophyta; Magnoliopsida; Malpighiales; Euphorbiaceae. The record is from RNAcentral.
GCUUGUAUAUCCACGAUUGCUGGGACUUUGUGUCUGAAAUUGUCCUCUACUUGUUGGUCUAGAGAGAGAACUAUGCCAAUGAUCACUCCCUUGAGAUCACGAUGCUUACGAGUUGAGAAGUUAGGUACUUCAUGAAUAAACCAAUCUGGAAGGUCAUCCCCUGGAACACAGAGAUACUGCAUAUGCCUUAGAGAAUCCUUAGAAAUAGUCCUUUUUAUAGAAGGCAAGCACGCAUUGCAACCAACUGUAUACAACCUUUUCAAAGAUUUCAAGCUUUCAAGGCCAGGAAUAUCUGUUAUCUUCUUGCAAUUACUGAUUUGGAGAUCUUCCAAGUACUUCAAAUUUGCUACGCUAGCUAUCUGUUCCAACGCGGAGCAGUUUGCAGCAUGUAAACAUACCAAACUUGAGGGAAGGUCAGGGAGAAAUUUGAGC